Molecule: transfer RNA, 50 nt
Organism: Sphaerobolus stellatus SS14
Lineage: Eukaryota; Fungi; Basidiomycota; Agaricomycetes; Geastrales; Sphaerobolaceae
Rfam family: tRNA
About the family: Transfer RNA (tRNA) molecules are approximately 80 nucleotides in length. Their secondary structure includes four short double-helical elements and three loops (D, anti-codon, and T loops).
Source: Rfam
GACGAUGUAGUCAAAUGGUUACGGCGUAGGUUCAAAUCCUAUCAUCGUCG